GUGGAACUCCUUCAUGACCUACUUUGAGUUUAAAAUAACCUUAUUAGUAACACAGUAAUGAUGCUUGGCCUUCCUACAUACGAUUUGUCUUCAAGGCAUUGCACCAGCUUUAAGUAAUCUUCACAGUGAAUCUGAGAGGCAGGGGCUCUUCCAGGUAAUGUGACAUAAUGAAGCAGGCAAGGAUCACGGCUAGAAGCCCAGGAGAGCAUCUCCAAGUUCUUACGGGUGCCAAAAUACUUGUGAAUCUGGACUAAGUCUUGAACAGAACCUCAUCCUACAUUCUGAUCCUGCCUGAAGGAUGCUUGAGAGGGAAGAAGCUAGAGGAGCAGC
Molecule: long non-coding RNA, 330 nt
Organism: Nothoprocta perdicaria
Lineage: Eukaryota; Metazoa; Chordata; Aves; Tinamiformes; Tinamidae
Exons: 3
Source: RefSeq, a predicted model, not a curated record